GACGAACGCUGGCGGCGUGCCUAACACAUGCAAGUCGAACGGAACUUACCGAAUGAAGUCUUCGGAUGGAUUUUGAUAAGUUUAGUGGCGGACGGGUGAGUAACGCGUGAGUAACCUGCCUUCAAGAGGGAAAUAACUAUGAGAAAUUGUAGCUAAUGUCCCAUAAGACCACACUUAGGCAUCUAAGAGAGGUCAAAGGAGAAAUCCGCUAGAAGAUGAGUCUAUGGCUGAUUAGUUAGUUGGUGAGGUAAGAGCUUACCAAGACGAUGAUCAGUAGCCGAGCUGAGAGGCUGAUCGGCCACAUUGGGACUGAGACACGGCCCAG
RNAcentral lists this ribosomal RNA (325 nucleotides) under uncultured bacterium. RNAcentral describes it as "bacterial SSU rRNA". It matches the Rfam family "Bacterial small subunit ribosomal RNA", at positions 28 to 334 of the family's 1533-position model. The record is from RNAcentral.